GCAGAGUGGAGACUCCCUUUGGGUGGGUACAGGGUCAGGUGGAAAAGGGCUUCCCCCCAAGGUAUCCUUUGUGUUAAUUAUAUUAACUCCCUUCUUAUAAAAGUUUGGCUUCUUUCCACAAAUUCCCGUUGGAGCAAUCAAAGAUCCAGGGAUUAGAAUAUCCUGACAUUUCCUGCCUUUGUGGCCUUGGGAAAAUUUAUGUCUAACUCUGAGCUUCAUUUUUCUCAUUUGUAAAAUGAGACACACUGGUUCAUCCUGCAAACCUUCAUUCAUUUAACAGUUUGUAUUGAAUAAAUGCUGUGUGCUAGGCAUCAUCCUCAGUGCUCGGGAUGCUGCAUGUACAGGCAGGAAAACAAUGAAAAAAAUGAGAUAGCAAAAUAAAUUCCUGGCUGAGCAUUAAAGCACAAUGAUAUAAAGGGACAGAUUCAGUGAUCAGGGGUUUCUGUUUGGUGACAGCUGAGCUGAGAUCUGAAGAGUGAGAAAGAGCCCACCAUGCAAAGAACUGGGGCAGAGCUUUAUAGAGCAAGAGAACAUAUACAAAGAACUCCGGGCAGGAAUGAACCUGAUGUGGUAUUUUACAGAUUUAAAAAACACCCUGAGACUCAGAAGUUAUAAAGUUCAACCGCUAAGUGAUAGAACUGAAAUUAGAACAUAUCCCUGGCUGAUAGCAAAUACUGUGCUCAAAUUUUUGCUGCAUGGUCUUUGUUAUCUCCUGGACUGAAGCAAGUUAGAAGCACUGUUCUAGGUCCUCAGCAGUGACAGCCAGUAGUCGCCAGUGACAUUGGAUAAGCAGCUCGAUUGUGUUCAACACAUUCCUGCCAAUCUCUGCUGAAUGUGAAGCACCGAGCUAAGUUGUCCAGGUGGUGCAUCCCAACCCUGGCUUGAAUGGAGCCUAGUGAAGGGCAAGUUCAUCCACCUGAGGCGGCAGAAGGCUUUUUGGAGGAGGUGACAACUGCCAGCCCUUGAAGUAUAAACAGGAAUUUGGCAUGUGGAGGUAAAGGGCAUUCUGAAACAGAGUCGGGAAAAAAGUCCAGAAAAGUGGCUCAGAGAGUAGCCAGGAGGCUAAGUUAUUUCUGGAUUCUGAAUUUACCCAGCAUCUUUGAGACUUUGCCACAUUUACACAUCAUCUCAACCACCAUCUAUCUAACAUCUAUCUAUAAAUGGACUUUUAAAAAAACCUAAGCGUAUUUUUUAAGGCCAACCUUAUAAUUACAAAUGGUGAACUACCAUCAUUCUCCACAAAUAGAUAAUAAAUAGCUAUUUUAAAAAUAAUUUUAGGUUUUACUUAGAUACUGUUGUCUGAAGAAAGCUUGAGCCCUGAUUUCUCUGUUAAAGGAGAUAAAAAAAUGUUGGAACCCA
Molecule: long non-coding RNA, 1359 nt
Organism: Cavia porcellus (domestic guinea pig)
Lineage: Eukaryota; Metazoa; Chordata; Mammalia; Rodentia; Caviidae
Exons: 2
Source: RefSeq, a predicted model, not a curated record